AUGAUAGACAAGGCUGCUGGAAGAGUCAAGCCAUGGAAAGGAAGACUUCUGAAUAGAACUGGGCGGCUAACUCUAAUCAACUCAGUCCUCACGGCAAUGGCAACAUUCUUCCUCUCGUGUUUCACAAUGGAUAAAUGGGCUAUCAAGAAGCUUGAUAAGUGCAGGAGGAAUUUUCUUUGGGCUGGGGAUGAGGAAGCAAGGGGAAGCAAAUGCCUUGUAAACUUUAAACAAUGCUGUACCCCCAAAAGUCUCGGAGGCCUCGGGAUCAAAGAGUUAACUUGUUAUAGCCGAGCCUUGAGACUCAGAUGGUGCUGGUUUGAAUGGGACAACAUCGACAGACCUUGGAAAGGCACCCAAAUCCCUUGUGACACAGUUGACAGAAGUCUUUUCGCGGCCUGCACCAAGAUCUCCUUGGGAAAUGGAAAAAAGAUCAACUUUUGGAAGGACAGGUGGAUGCAUGGAAUUGCACCUAUUGCACUGGCACCCGAAGUUGCAAAACUGGCAUGGAAGAAGAAUCUCAAGGUCGCUGAUGCUCUGACAAACAACCUUUGGAUGAAGGGGUUACAUAGGAUGAACAACGAAGAGCAAGUGCAGCAAUUUGUUUCCUUAUGGGAGAAGAUCCAGGAAGUGCAGUUGUCUCAUGACGAUGAUGGCAUCACGUGGAUCCUUAACUCCAAAGGAAUUUACACGGCUAAAGAUGCCUAUGAAGCCCAAUUCUUGGGACGAAUUAGGCAGCCACUCCUAGAGAAAGCAUGGAAAGUGAAGGCUGAAAACAAGAUCAAAUUCUACCUUUGGUUACUGCUCCAGAACCGUAACUGGACCGCGGACAGGUUAUCCACCAGGGGCUGGCCUUGCAACCCGACCUGCCCUUUCUGCGACCAGGCCCCAGAGACAGCAAUUCACAUCCUUCUGGGAUGCCCCUACUCUAAAGAAGUCUGGAACAUGUCUGGGCCCAUCCACCCCCAGAUGACGGACGUGGCCCUCUCCUCCAAUUCCGUCAAAUGUUGGUGGCGCAAGCUGCACCUGAUCGCUCCAAAAGAAAUUGGUAAGGAGCAGAUUGCUUUUGCUGCAUAUGUGGCUUGGCAUCACUGGAAUGAAAGAAACAGGAGGGUGUUCCAAUGCAAAAUGCUACUGCCGCAUCAAGUUUUCAUGCUGGUGACCGAGGAUUUUAGACUCUGCAAAGAGGCAUUCAGAGAGUAG
This 1200-nucleotide ribosomal RNA is filed under the name Triticum aestivum (bread wheat). RNAcentral's name for it is "partial small subunit ribosomal RNA". Lineage: Eukaryota; Viridiplantae; Streptophyta; Magnoliopsida; Poales; Poaceae. The record is from RNAcentral.